Molecule: ribosomal RNA, 481 nt
Filed under: uncultured bacterium
Lineage: Bacteria
Description: partial 16S ribosomal RNA
Rfam family: Bacterial small subunit ribosomal RNA
Source: RNAcentral
GAUGAACGCUGGCGGCGUGCUUAACACAUGCAAGUCGAACGAAGCACUUUAUUUGAUUUCCUUCGGGACUGAUUAUUUUGUGACUGAGUGGCGGACGGGUGAGUAACGCGUGGGUAACCUGCCUUGUACAGGGGGAUAACAGUUGGAAACGGCUGCUAAUACCGCAUAAGCGCACAGCAUCGCAUGAUGCAGUGUGAAAAACUCCGGUGGUAUAAGAUGGACCCGCGUUGGAUUAGCUAGUUGGUGAGGUAACGGCCCACCAAGGCGACGAUCCAUAGCCGACCUGAGAGGGGGACCGGCCACAUUGGGACUGAGACACGGCCCAAACUCCUACGGGAGGCAGCAGUGGGGAAUAUUGAACAAUGGGCGAAAGCCUGAUGCAGCGACGCCGCGUGAGCGAAGAAGUAUUUCGGUAUGUAAAGCUCUAUCAGCAGGGAAGAUAAUGACGGUACCUGACUAAGAAGCACCGGCUAAAUACGUG